AUUUUUUAGCCUGUAAUUGCGGGGAGCAGUUUAACUGCACAUUCGAAAAACGAUGGUUCGCUACUUACAAGACUUGUAUAUGUCCGAAAGGUUAUGAAGAAGUAAAUGGAAAAUGUGUUGAUGCUUGUUCAUCCAGUCCUUGCGAGAAUGGAGGGACCUGCAGACUUACCGAAGAUUCGUAUGUGUGUGACUGUCCCAAAGAAUUUACUGGAAGGCGGUGCCAAACUGAGAAGUGCAGUUCUGCCAAUUGCGAGAAUGGAAAGUGCGUAGCAAGUGAAAAGGACAAGACUAAAUGUGUGUGUAAUCCUGGAUUUGCAAAGCAUCCUGAUGGACAUUGCCAGGCUUGUAAGUGCGGUAAAGAAUUCAACUGCACUUUCGAAAACCAUUGGUUUGCAAUAAACAAAAGAUGCAUUUGUCCUAAGAAUUACGUAGAAGAAAGGGG
Long non-coding RNA from Uloborus diversus, 442 nucleotides. RefSeq lists it as uncharacterized. The record is from RefSeq and is a predicted model, not a curated record. Lineage: Eukaryota; Metazoa; Arthropoda; Arachnida; Araneae; Uloboridae. The transcript is spliced from 4 exons.